Aedes aegypti (yellow fever mosquito) is the source of this 1065-nucleotide long non-coding RNA. RefSeq lists it as uncharacterized. Lineage: Eukaryota; Metazoa; Arthropoda; Insecta; Diptera; Culicidae. The transcript has 2 exons. The record is from RefSeq and is a predicted model, not a curated record.
GGCAACAGCCCCCGUGUCUCCUGACUACAUCCAUGAAUGAAAUGAUUAGUUCAGGAGACACAUAAGGCGGCGGCGGCGACUCUACUCAUUUCACCCUAGAGUCAAGCGAGAGAGUACAUAACGGCAUCAGAAUGCACCGCACAUGAUUGUGCACUGCGCUAGUAGUAGUAGCUAAGCGCAAAAUCGGUAAUAAUAAAUAUUAAAAAAAAAAGUUCUAAGUUCAAAGCAGAAAUGCUCCGGCCCGGAGAGCGGAACGAGUUACGACCUAACUCGGACUGACCGACCGGUUGACAGGAGUCGAGGAAAACUUGUUUCGAUGCAACUCUCGCCAAUAUCAAGAGUGCCACCAAGAACAGCGGCGAAAAGAAAAAGUUGCUUACAUGUGCAAUUUUCCGUUGCACAGCAUUCAGUGCCAGCAGCAGUGGCAAAAGCGAAUAAACGAGCGGCGAUAACAAGUUGUGAGACUAGAAACACACAAACACACAUCUAAAACGGUUCAAUUUCAUAAUUCUGCUUCUGGGGUGGUGCAGCAAAAGUGCAAGCCGGAGUCGAGCUGAGCGCGAGGGCGACGGGAAGUGCAACCAGUUUGUGUCUCCGGUUGGUGUUACUGUCGAGGCUGCUGCUGCUGUAAUCAAACGAUGACACAUUUAAUGAUGGAAGCAGUUCGCAGUUUCCCUUCCGGAAGAGCAUUUGACAGGAGACUCAGCAUUGAUGGUGGGAUGCAGCAGAAACAUUUCAACGGUGCAACGCAAGGGGGUUGUCAUUAUCUUCCGUAUCAUUUCCUCACAACAGCCAGCGUCGUUCCUGCUGGUGCAGUCCGAUCGAAUGGUGGCAAUGCAAUUUUGUGUGGUGAACCGGUACACAGUGUACUAUUUUGGGAAAAAAUACGGACGCAAUUCUGACGUGAUCGAACCAAAAAAAAAAAAAAAAUAUCUUAAGCAAAAAAUUACAAGUAAUCGAUUCCUGCCCUGAUUUCCCCUAUUUUUUGUGAAACAAACAUAAAUUUUGGAUACAAUUAUCGGAAAAAUAAAAAGUUAAAACAAUAUCUGGCUUUGGCAAAAGAGA